This is a long non-coding RNA of Ruditapes philippinarum (Manila clam), 1266 nucleotides long. RefSeq lists it as uncharacterized. The transcript is spliced from 3 exons. The record is from RefSeq and is a predicted model, not a curated record. Lineage: Eukaryota; Metazoa; Mollusca; Bivalvia; Venerida; Veneridae.
UGUUACUCGGCACUUUCAUAAGUAGUGUGAUAUUUUGCAAGAUAAAGAAUAUAUUUUUCUUGCUGACAUAGCGACGAAACCAGAAGAUGUUAAUACCUUACCAACAGGAGACGGUACAUCUUUGUCUGAAGCAACAGGUGUUCAAAAAACAUCCGCAUUUCUAAUUUACAACGAUACAUUCAUAAGCAGUACAGACGGUACAGUAAAUAAUCUGAUUAGUUCACCUGACAGUUAUGACGUCAUUAUUCCUAUAAGUGUAACAGUUACAAUUGUAAUCUUAGUGGCAGUAAUCGUUAUUGUGAUUUUGAUGUUACGAAAAAGAGGAAAGAUUCCAAGUACGGGAAUCAAAUGUUCUGCAUUAAGUAUUUGUUUUAGAAGAACUCCUGAUCAACUUCCAAGUGAAACCAAUGCCGCUUACGAAAACUUUCAAGAGGCCGGUAAUGAACGCAUUGGUGAACUAAAUUACUAUGUGAAUGUAGACGCAAGGCAAGACCUCCAUUUAGAUAACAUAAAUACUUAUUGCAGUAUCGAUCCGGUUGCAAAGGAAACUGACACAUAUGACAUUCUUGAUCCAAAUAAAACAUAACGAUUUAUUAAUAUAAAAAAUGACAUGAAUAACAAUGUUAAGAAACAAUUUGCACACAACGUUAUAAACAUAUUACACGCACCGGCUUUAACUUGUCGAAUUCGCUUAUAGGGAUAAAGUCAAACUACAUCGGCUGCUUCAAUUAUGUGUAUGUAACUAUUGGCAGGUACAUGCAGAAUAUUAACCUUUAUAUUCAGUAUAGUAUAGGAUUUGGAUUAAUCUUAGUUUUUAUAUCGGUGCUUUAAGAAAUGUUUCGCUUCAAGCGUUCUCAUCUUGUUAAAAGAGUAUCAGAAUGGAAUCAGGCUGCUCCUCCUGUGUUUAUAUGCAACUGUUCAAGGAAAUGAUUGUCUAAAUAAUCAGUUACAAAUUAAUCUGCGAUUACAUCCUGUCAGUUAGUUAAUUGUAUAUCUGUGUCUUUUUUAUGAAUGUUUUAUGGAUGUUUUAGUUAUUUACGAUAAUGAUUAUUGACAAAGUGAAUAUAAUUCAUUUGUUUCUUUAAAAUUUUUAAAAAGUGACACUAUAAAGACACUUAUUCUACGAUAUUUAUUGACUUUCUUAACGUUGUUUUCUUAUUUUUCUAACUUUAUGAAUUCAUAGAAUUCGAAUUAUUAACACAGGUCUCUCUACAAAUUACAUUUUGAAGGGGUUUUAUCAGGUUACAUACUUAAAUUAUAUUAAAC